UACGUAGGGGGCAAGCGUUAUCCGGAUUUACUGGGUGUAAAGGGAGCGUAGACGGCCAUUCAAGCCAGAUGUGAAAGCCCGGGGCUCAACUCCGGGACUGCAUUUGGAACUGCGCGGCUAGAGUGUCGGAGAGGCAGGCGGAAUUCCUAGUGUAGCGGUGAAAUGCGUAGAUAUUAGGAGGAACACCAGUGGCGAAGGCGGCCUGCUGGACUGCGACUGACGUUGAGGCUCGAAAGCGUGGGGAGCGAACAGG
This 253-nucleotide ribosomal RNA is filed under the name uncultured bacterium. Its description in RNAcentral is "partial 16S ribosomal RNA". It matches the Rfam family "Bacterial small subunit ribosomal RNA", at positions 524 to 776 of the family's 1533-position model. The record is from RNAcentral.